Neofelis nebulosa (Clouded leopard) is the source of this 1379-nucleotide long non-coding RNA. RefSeq lists it as uncharacterized. The record is from RefSeq and is a predicted model, not a curated record. The transcript is spliced from 2 exons. NCBI's taxonomy places the organism in Eukaryota, Metazoa, Chordata, Mammalia, Carnivora, Felidae.
UUCUACCCAAGGUCGUCUGAUUGCCCAGGAGGCUCACAUCCAUUGAGGAGGAAGCAGCAUUUAUGGCUGGUGCUCCUCUCACUUGCCAGAGGGGUAACGUCCAUCACAGACAUCCCCGCCCCUCCCCACCCUGGGCAUGUUUCUCCCACAAUGCUCUGCAGCUUUCUACCAGGUCCUCUCUCUGCCCAAAGGCCUCACUGUGGAAUCUUAACUGCUGGGAAAGAAUAAUUUUUCAGAUGCAUAAACCAGUUGGUGAAACCAGCCAUAUUUUAGGGGGGCUCGACUUCUCAUUAUGUAAAAAAAUUCAAAAUAUUACGUCAGGCAAGGGAAAUAAGUAUGCUCUGAGGACCAGCGCAACCCGUGGUCUCACCGCUUUACCCUGCUGGUACCAGAAUUUCACAAAAUCAACAAGAAUCAUAAUUCAAUUGAUCCGGUUUGAUGAAAGCCACCGAAAAUGAGAAGUAAUCUCUUGCUGUAAGAUUUCGCUGUAAGACUUUAGAGGAGGUUCUCUUAGCUAACUGUAUAAAUACUAUAAAUCUACUCUGAUUUCCCCGAAUCUCUGCAUCAAAAUCUGUGUGUAUGAGAUCAGUAAGUCUUACAGAAAGCCAUAAAUGUGGAACAGUAGGAAGACCCACUUACCAAGGACACGGUUCAACCCCACAUGGGUGUGUUUGGAAGGUAUGUUGCUAACACGUGUCGAUCAAAAUAUAUGAUGUAUAAUCUGUAGCGUCUGAUGGUCAAAGCCUCUGUCUCCUUCUGCCCCCACAGCGAUUUCUAGGCUGACCCGCCAAGAGAAAAAGAUGUUUUUCGGUUGCCCCCAUGAGGACUGGGGGCUGAAACCCUCCACUUCAACGUGAACUCCCCGAGCUCUGUCACACGCAAAUUUCCCACUGCCAACCCCGGCCUGCAGGACGGGAAACCAGGCCGAUUCUGAAGCAACGCUGAGUUGUGCGUUGUAAACAGUGACCUAUUCAUAAAGCAUCUAUACUACAUUGUACCAGGCUAGCUUUUGUUCAGGACCAAACCCCUCUGUUUCCAGAAACAACAGCAACCACACUUGCCCUUCAGUUCCAAGGAAUUCCUGGAAAUUCUUCUGGGCAAACAGCACGCUCAGGGGAACAGAUCACUUAUACCGGGACUCUGACUGAUUGUUACAAGAGAUUCCACAGCAGGACUUUGGAAAAAGAGAAAGUAAAGAAACCCAGAAAAAAAGACAGUGAAAGUCUCCUAUUGACUUGAUAACACAGCCUCUCUUGUUCCUGGAACCUGAUUCACAGCUGAUGGUGACUUAUGGGAGGGGUAGAAGGAGGAAAUAUUUUAAAAUCGAAUUCUUUAAGACACAGAAAGGAAUUAAAGACAACUGAGAAACUGAACACAAA